RNAcentral lists this ribosomal RNA (745 nucleotides) under human gut metagenome. Its description in RNAcentral is "bacterial SSU rRNA". It matches the Rfam family "Bacterial small subunit ribosomal RNA", at positions 768 to 1507 of the family's 1533-position model. The record is from RNAcentral.
GCGAACAGGAUUAGAUACCCUGGUAGUCCACGCCGUAAACGGUGGAUGCUGGAUGUGGGGACCAUUCCACGGUCUCCGUGUCGGAGCCAACGCGUUAAGCAUCCCGCCUGGGGAGUACGGCCGCAAGGCUAAAACUCAAAGAAAUUGACGGGGGCCCGCACAAGCGGCGGAGCAUGCGGAUUAAUUCGAUGCAACGCGAAGAACCUUACCUGGGCUUGACAUGUUCCCGACGGUCGUAGAGAUACGGCUUCCCUUCGGGGCGGGUUCACAGGUGGUGCAUGGUCGUCGUCAGCUCGUGUCGUGAGAUGUUGGGUUAAGUCCCGCAACGAGCGCAACCCUCGCCCUGUGUUGCCAGCACGUCGUGGUGGGAACUCACGGGGGACCGCCGGGGUCAACUCGGAGGAAGGUGGGGAUGACGUCAGAUCAUCAUGCCCCUUACGUCCAGGGCUUCACGCAUGCUACAAUGGCCGGUACAACGGGAUGCGACGCGGCGACGCGGAGCGGAUCCCUGAAAACCGGUCUCAGUUCGGAUCGCAGUCUGCAACUCGACUGCGUGAAGGCGGAGUCGCUAGUAAUCGCGAAUCAGCAACGUCGCGGUGAAUGCGUUCCCGGGCCUUGUACACACCGCCCGUCAAGUCAUGAAAGUGGGCAGCACCCGAAGCCGGUGGCCUAACCCCUUGUGGGAUGGAGCCGUCUAAGGUGAGGCUCGUGAUUGGGACUAAGUCGUAACAAGGUAGCCGUACCG